AACGCUAGCGGCAGGCUUAACACAUGCAAGUCGAGGGGUAUGCUUCUUCGGAAGCAGAGACCGGCGCACGGGUGCGUAACGCGUAUGCAAUCUACCUUUUACAGAGGGAUAGCCCAGAGAAAUUUGGAUUAAUACCUCAUAGUAUAGCUGAAUCGCAUGAUUCUACUAUUAAAGUCACAACGGUAAAAGAUGAGCAUGCGUCCCAUUAGCUAGUUGGUAAGGUAACGGCUUACCAAGGCUACGAUGGGUAGGGGUCCUGAGAGGGAGAUCCCCCACACUGGUACUGAGACACGGACCAGACUCCUACGGGAGGCAGCAGUGAGGAAUAUUGGACAAUGGGCGCAAGCCUGAUCCAGCCAUGCCGCGUGCAGGAUGACGGUCCUAUGGAUUGUAAACUGCUUUUAUACGAGAAGAAACACUGCUUCGUGAAGCAGCUUGACGGUAUCGUAAGAAUAAGGAUCGGC
Molecule: ribosomal RNA, 464 nt
Filed under: Flavobacterium sp. BH11.5
Lineage: Bacteria; Pseudomonadati; Bacteroidota; Flavobacteriia; Flavobacteriales; Flavobacteriaceae
Description: bacterial SSU rRNA
Rfam family: Bacterial small subunit ribosomal RNA
Source: RNAcentral